UGAAUGGGUGUGUGAGUGUGUAUGUGAUUGUGCCCUGCGAUGGACUGGCACCCUGUCCAGGGUGUACCCCGCCUUGUGCCCGAUGCUCCCUGGGAUAGACUCCAGGUUCCCCGUGACCCUGAAGAAGGAGUAAGCGGUAGAAGAUGGAUGGAUGGAUGAAAAAAAAAAAGAAAGAUAGUUAGUAAUUACCGUCUACCUUUCCUCAAUCCACCUCCAGGGUGCGUACAUCACUGAUACAAUAUAUAUUUUACAGAAAUAUAUUUCUGUAAAGCUGCUUUGAGACAAUGACCAUUGGAAAAAGCGCUGUACAAAUAAAAUUGAAUUGAAAAUAACAUGUUAUUGGUGUUACUAGAAAAAUCUGCAGUUCCUGUACAACCAGGGUCUGAUGUCAUCCCCUGAACAUGGGUUACAACGGCACCUGGACCUGCUGGAGCAAUACUGUGGGCCUGCUGAAAAUCGAGACAAGACCAACAUUUUCAUCUUCCAAAAGAAAGCCAGAUCUCAGAAAAGCAAACACCAUUUUACUGCAAGAAACAACGCCCUAGAGCAUUAAUUACACUAUGAUUACCUAGGACUGAAAAUCAGUACCACAAGGAUCUGGGAUCGGAAUACACUAAGAAAAAAAUACAUCAUAUGCAGACUACACUAGAUGAGACCAGCAUCACACAGAGUAUGUGCAUGCAAAAUUGUUAGUAAUGUACGAAAUUUUUAAAGGUAAAUGUUAACAAAUUUGUGAGGGACGAUAGAGCGCGUCCAGACCAGCUGUCUCACUGUGUGGUAUGGGAUCUGCACAGACUUUGACCACAAGACCCAACAGCGAGGGUCUCUAGUGCUGCAUCGGGGGCUCUCUACCCAUCAUCGAGACCUCCUUCAAAAACCACUGCAUCUGCAAAGCCACCACUAUUGCGGACGACCCCUCUCACCCGUCUCAUGGACUCUUCACACUGGCAGAAGGUACAGGAGCAUCCCUGCCUCCACCAGCAGACUCUGCAACAGUUUCUUCCCUGAGGCAGUCAGAUUACUCAACACCCAACACUCACCUGGGCUAGUUGAACACCUAAACCAGUUUGGCGUUGUCCUGCUCUGGAUGGAAGCAUAUGUUGCUCCAAAAUGUGUACAUAUCUUUCUGCAUUAUCGGUGCCCUCACAGAUGUGCAAUUUACCCAUGCCAUGGGCACUGAUACGCCCCCAUGCCAUGACAGAUGCUGGAUUUUGGACUUGAUGCUGAUAACAGCUUGGAUGGUCCUUUUUCCUCCUUGGCCCGGAGAACACGACGGUUGUUUUGUCCAAAAACUAUUAGAAAUGUCGACUCGUCUGACCGCAAAACACGAUUUUCUCUCCACUCUUCCUCCAGACUCUGGGACCUUGAUUUCCAAAUGAAAUGCAAAAUUUACUUUCAUCUUCCCCGUGAUUGUGACUCUGUACUGAACCAGACUGAGAGAUUAAAGCCUCAGAUAACCUUUGCAGGUGUUCUGAGUUAAUUAGCUGAUCAGCUCUCUUCUCAGGCUGACAUUUCUGUAUUAUAAAUUCUUUAUUCGAAUAUUCUGAGAUACUGGAUUUUUGAUUUCCAUG
Ictalurus punctatus (channel catfish) is the source of this 1571-nucleotide long non-coding RNA. NCBI's taxonomy places the organism in Eukaryota, Metazoa, Chordata, Actinopteri, Siluriformes, Ictaluridae. The record is from Ensembl.